UACGUAGGGGGCAAGCGUUGUCCGGAAUCAUUGGGCGUAAAGCACGUGUAGGCGGCUCGGUAAGUCUGCUGUGAAAGUCCAGGGCUCAACCCUGGGAUGCCGGUGGAUACUGUCGAGCUCGAGUCCGGAAGAGGCGAGUGGAAUUCCUGGUGUAGCGGUGAAAUGCGCAGAUAUCAGGAGGAACACCAAUGGCGAAGGCAGCUCGCUGGGACGUGACUGACGCUGAGACGCGAAAGCGUGGGGAGCAAACAGG
Molecule: ribosomal RNA, 253 nt
Filed under: uncultured bacterium
Lineage: Bacteria
Description: partial 16S ribosomal RNA
Rfam family: Bacterial small subunit ribosomal RNA
Source: RNAcentral